AAGCAACGCGAAGAACUUACCAGGCCUUGACAUGCAGAGAACUUUCCUAGAGAUGGAUUGUGCCUUCGGGAACUCUGACACAGGUGCUGCAUGGCUGUCGUCAGCUCGUGUCGUCGAGAUGUUGGGUUAAGUCCCGUAACGAGCGCAACCCUUGUCCUUAGUUACCAGCACGUUAUGGUGGGCACUCUAAGGAGACUGCCGGUGACAACCGGAGGAAGGUGGGGAUGACGUCAAGUCAUCAUGGCCCUUACGGCCUGGGCUACACACGUGCUACAAUGGUCGGUACAAAGGGUUGCCAAGCCGCGAGGUGGAGCUAAUCCCAUAAAACCGAUCGUAGUCCGGAUCGCAGUCUGCAACUCGACUGCGUGAAGUCGGAAUCGCUAGUAAUCGUGAAUCAGAAUGUCACGGUGAAUACGUUCCCGGGCCUU
RNAcentral lists this ribosomal RNA (428 nucleotides) under uncultured Pseudomonas sp. RNAcentral describes it as "bacterial SSU rRNA". It matches the Rfam family "Bacterial small subunit ribosomal RNA", at positions 954 to 1382 of the family's 1533-position model. Lineage: Bacteria; Pseudomonadati; Pseudomonadota; Gammaproteobacteria; Pseudomonadales; Pseudomonadaceae. The record is from RNAcentral.